Molecule: non-coding RNA, 109 nt
Organism: Aedes aegypti (yellow fever mosquito)
Lineage: Eukaryota; Metazoa; Arthropoda; Insecta; Diptera; Culicidae
Source: Rfam
UGCCCAGCAACUACUAUCUCUACCUCCUCGCGGUACUGGCCGGGGUACCUUAGGGAAGAUUUGGUAACCAACCCCGGUGGGAACCUUGGUCGUAUGCUGACAGGGAAGA